AUGAGUCUCAUGAGUUGGAAUUGUCGCGGGGUGGGUAACGCGACAAUUCAUGAGCUUCGUGAUCUCGUGAAGCAUUUUACCCUGGCUGUACUAUGCAUUGUAGAAACACAAAUUGAUUGAGUAUGAGUCAAGAAUAUGAAAGCUACUUUAGGCUAUGACAAUAGUUUUGCUGUAAGCUCCUCAGGGAGAAGUGGUGGUUUAGGAAUUUUUUGGAAUGAAGAAAUAAAGUUGAAUCGACCAUGUAUCCUUCAGAUUUCAUAUGUACAAGUAUACCCUCAAAACAUAAUUCCAUCAAGUGUCUCAUAUCACUAA
This 312-nucleotide ribosomal RNA is filed under the name Triticum aestivum (bread wheat). RNAcentral's name for it is "partial small subunit ribosomal RNA". Lineage: Eukaryota; Viridiplantae; Streptophyta; Magnoliopsida; Poales; Poaceae. The record is from RNAcentral.